This 1295-nucleotide long non-coding RNA is filed under the name Mustela putorius furo (domestic ferret). Its description in RNAcentral is "lncRNA (ENSMPUG00000031115.1)". The record is from RNAcentral. Lineage: Eukaryota; Metazoa; Chordata; Mammalia; Carnivora; Mustelidae.
AAAAACAAUGCAAUUUAUUAUUGGUCACGGAAACAAGGCCAAACUAGGAAAAAGAACACAAAUAACACUCUAAAUACCAAGGUAUCAGAUUAUACACAGCUCCAUCUAAGUUUUCAGUGUUCAGUUGGGGGCCCUGGGUACACCGAGAAGCUGAACGAUCACAGACAAAAUGAAAAGGAUUGGAGAGAUACAGUUCUUGCCUGGAGGAAUACACACCUGGCAAGUGGCAGAACCAGGGUGAAUGAUAGCAGAAAUGGUGGGAGUUUGGUUCUCUUAAAUCAGCCCAUCUCUGGCUACUCUGUUAAACAGAGGAAGAAGAGAAUUUCUUAUCUGUGGUGUGGUCUUCUUGGUCUGUUCUUACAAGAACUUCUGGCUGCUGUCCAGGUUACUCAUAAGCUGCACCUGUCAGACACCAAAGCCUUCCAUCUACCCCUCAGAGAGAGAAUAAGUGAACAUUUAGCCCAACCUUCAGCAGACUAGCAGGGACUUCCGGAUAACAGUGAAAAUAACAAUGAAAUCUGGACUACAAGAGAGAAAUUCCACUGCAAGCUUUUCUAAAGACAACUCAGUUUUCAAUUUGAUCUCAAUGUGUAUAGUACAGUAGUCAUGCUAGGAAAAGUCUCAACGAUCUUAGCAAUUAACUCAAACUCCUUAACAUAAACAAACCCUCUGGUGGGGGAAACGCCUUCAGGGAUGCUGAGCCCCCAAACAGACAACAAGAAACUUGAAACAUCUACUGGCAUUUUCCAUCUAUUAUCUUCAAGAAUCAGUGCCCACAGUUUUCUCUUAAAAAUUCCCAGGACUGAAUCUGGAAGCUGCUCCUGGUCUGACUGUCUCUCUUGGAUACUGUCAACACAAUAAUCUUAAUAGAUAUAAAUACAAACAUGGCUAGAGGCCAACCAGAUCUUUCUCGACUCCCUUGUUCCUCUCUGGCUCCAUGCCCAAAGAGCUCACAGUGCUGACCUCAAACUCCGUGUGCCACCUGACUUCACCUUUUCUUCUUUGAUUAUCAAAGGAAAGCUCUAUUUGUCUCUAAACAUAUCUCAUUUUCAUAGCCAAAUCUUUUGGAACACAUGGUUGCCUAUUACAAAAUCCACAAUGUGAGUUACCGGGGGUACUUGGCUAUAAGAUGCCAGUUUCUCUUCCCUUCCCUCCUUCCCUUUUCUUUCCUUUCUCACAUACUCAUUCAGGCCCUACUAUAUAUUAGGAACAGCAAUACACAUUUAAGACAGAGAGAUGAUGUGACUACUUUGCUUUUAGUUUAUAGUUAAAAGAGAAGGUGGAGGGGGAAAAAG